This 347-nucleotide non-coding RNA is filed under the name Pongo abelii (Sumatran orangutan). Lineage: Eukaryota; Metazoa; Chordata; Mammalia; Primates; Hominidae. The record is from RNAcentral.
AGAGAGGCCUCGGGGGGAUUCUGGGGCCCGGUGAAGUUUGGGAACCAUGGGUCUACACCAUGAGGAGAAACCCUGGACCUGGCCUAAGAAGAGGCCCUCCCUCCUGUCUGACAAUGAGCCUUGAGAAGGCCAUGGGAAAAAAAAAAAAAAAAAAAGAGGCCACCAGAAACCCUAUUGCCGAGGUCCUGGCAAGGAAGAAAAGGACAGAAGAGUAAAUUUCCCUACAAGAACACGGGUCUAGGAAACAGAAAAUAAAGGAAGCUUCCAUUUCAUGGGCAGAGACAUCUCCACAAAUAGGCUGAGCCCAUGUCCCCAGAGCUCUGAGUAAUUAAAUUUUGAGAAAAGUG